RNAcentral lists this ribosomal RNA (499 nucleotides) under uncultured Glomeromycotina. RNAcentral describes it as "partial small subunit ribosomal RNA". It matches the Rfam family "Eukaryotic small subunit ribosomal RNA", at positions 591 to 1092 of the family's 1831-position model. Lineage: Eukaryota; Fungi; Glomeromycota. The record is from RNAcentral.
CCAAUAGCGUAUAUUAAAGUUGUUGCAGUUAAAAAGCUCGUAGUUGAAUUUCGGGAUCAGACUGUCGGUCGUGCCUCGGUACGCACUGGCAUUAUUGGUUCCUACCUUCUGAAGAACCGCGAUGUCAUUAAUUUGGUGUCGCGGGGAAUCAGGACUGUUACUUUGAAAAAAUUAGAGUGUUUAAAGCAGGCGCACGCUUGAAUACAUUAGCAUGGAAUAAUGAAAUAGGACGUUUGAUUCUAUUUUGUUGGUUUCUAGGAUCGACGUAAUGAUUAAUAGGGAUAGUUGGGGGCAUUAGUAUUCAAUUGUCAGAGGUGAAAUUCUUGGAUUUAUUGAAGACUAACUACUGCGAAAGCAUUUGCCAAGGAUGUUUUCAUUAAUCAAGAACGAAAGUUAGGGGAUCGAAGACGAUCAGAUACCGUCGUAGUCUUAACCAUAAACUAUGCCGACUAGGGAUCGGAUGAUGUUAAUUUUAUAAUGACUCAUUCGGCGCCUUACG